CCAGCCUCAGGACCGCUUUCCUUCCUCCGCCCAUUGCUCCCAGUCGCGUCCCUUCCCGGCCGCCGUAGAGCAAGCGACGCGGGAGUUCGGCAGUCGCGUCGCCUAGGCAACGGCUCGGCGGCGGGCUGCGGGCGCCAGGCGGCCCCGGGGAGGCGCUCGCGCCGGCGGCCGGGGCUCUACGAGGCGACAAGGCGGCAGACUUUCUGCACUGGCUAAUCAAGAGUGAAAAACCUGAAGAGAUGCAGGCAGGAAAACGGAAUUAAACUAGGUGGGUAGCUGUGUGGCUCACACCUCUGUGCCUCUCAUCACAUUUGCCUACACACCCUUUUCCUUUUUUCUUUUCUUUCUUUCUUUUUUUUUCUCUGCUUGAAGAAAAGAAAGCCAAUAGAAUAGAUUCUAAAUGAAGUUCGAGGGGGAAUUUUAGUCACCUAAAGAAAAGGCAGGGUGACUCUU
RNAcentral lists this long non-coding RNA (453 nucleotides) under Mus spicilegus (steppe mouse). RNAcentral describes it as "lncRNA (ENSMSIG00000028613.1)". The record is from RNAcentral. Lineage: Eukaryota; Metazoa; Chordata; Mammalia; Rodentia; Muridae.